GUGGGGUAGUGGCUUACCAAGGCUUUGACGGGUAGCCGGCCUGAGAGGGUGACCGGCCACAUUGGGACUGAGAUACGGCCCAGACUCCUACGGGAGGCAGCAGUGGGGAAUAUUGCACAAUGGGCGGAAGCCUGAUGCAGCAACGCCGCGUGCGGGAUGACGGCCUUCGGGUUGUAAACCGCUUUCGCCUGUGACGAAGCGUGAGUGACGGUAAUGGGUAAAGAAGCACCGGCUAACUACGUGCCAGCAGCCGCGGUGAUACGUAGGGUGCGAGCGUUGUCCGGAUUUAUUGGGCGUAAAGGGCUCGUAGGUGGCUGAUCGCGUCGGAAGUGUAAUCUUGGGGCUUAACCCUGAGCGUGCUUUCGAUACGGGUUGACUUGAGGAAGGUAGGGGAGAAUGGAAUUCCUGGUGGAGCGGUGGAAUGCGCAGAUAUCAGGAGGAACACCAGUGGCGAAGGCGGUUCUCUGGGCCUUUCCUGACGCUGAGGAGCGAAAGCGUGGGGAGCGAACAGGCUUAGAUACCCUGGUAGUCCACGCUGUAAACGGUGGGUACUAGGUGUGGGGUCCAUUCCACGGGUUCCGUGCCGUAGCUAACGCUUUAAG
RNAcentral lists this ribosomal RNA (602 nucleotides) under uncultured Actinomycetes bacterium. RNAcentral describes it as "bacterial SSU rRNA". It matches the Rfam family "Bacterial small subunit ribosomal RNA", at positions 252 to 864 of the family's 1533-position model. The record is from RNAcentral. Lineage: Bacteria; Bacillati; Actinomycetota; Actinomycetes.